RNAcentral lists this ribosomal RNA (238 nucleotides) under uncultured bacterium. RNAcentral describes it as "partial 16S ribosomal RNA". It matches the Rfam family "Bacterial small subunit ribosomal RNA", at positions 96 to 334 of the family's 1533-position model. The record is from RNAcentral.
CGGCGGACGGGUGAGUAACGCGUGGGUAACCUGCCUCAUACAGGGGGAUAACAGUUGGAAACGGCUGCUAAUACCGCAUAAGCGCACAGUACCGCAUGGUACGGUGUGAAAAACUCCGGUGGUAUGAGAUGGACCCGCGUCUGAUUAGGUAGUUGGUGGGGUAACGGCCUACCAAGCCGACGAUCAGUAGCCGACCUGAGAGGGUGACCGGCCACAUUGGGACAGAGACACGGCCCAA